Molecule: ribosomal RNA, 253 nt
Filed under: uncultured bacterium
Lineage: Bacteria
Description: partial 16S ribosomal RNA
Rfam family: Bacterial small subunit ribosomal RNA
Source: RNAcentral
UACAGAGGUCCCAAGCGUUGUUCGGAUUCACUGGGCGUAAAGGGUGCGUAGGUGGCCGGUGAAGUUCGGUGUGAAAGCUCGGAGCUCAACUCCGAAAUGGCAUUGAAAACUCAUCGGCUGGAGGGUCGGAGGGGAGACUGGAAUUCUCGGUGUAGCAGUGAAAUGCGUAGAUAUCGAGAGGAACACCAGUGGCGAAGGCGAGUCUCUGGACGACUCCUGACACUGAGGCACGAAAGCCAGGGGAGCAAACAGG